CCCUUAGAUGUUCUGGGCUGCACGCGCGCUACACUGAUGCAUUCAACGAGUAUUUCCUUGGCCGAGAGGCCUGGGCAAUCUUUUAAACCUGCAUCGUGAUAGGGAUAGAUUAUUGCAAUUAUUAAUCUUGAACGAGGAAUUCCUAGUAAACGCAAAUCAUCAAUUUGCAUUGAUUACGUCCCUGCCCUUUGUACACACCGCCCGUCGCACCUACCGAUUGAAUGGUCCGGUGAAAUCUCGGGAUUGUGGCCAGUUCACUUUAUUGGGAGUUGGCUGCGAGAACUUGCUUAAACCUUAUCAUUUAGAGGAAGGUGAAGUCGUAACA
RNAcentral lists this ribosomal RNA (325 nucleotides) under uncultured eukaryote. RNAcentral's name for it is "partial 18S ribosomal RNA". It matches the Rfam family "Eukaryotic small subunit ribosomal RNA", at positions 1470 to 1796 of the family's 1831-position model. The record is from RNAcentral.